Molecule: long non-coding RNA, 948 nt
Organism: Felis catus (domestic cat)
Lineage: Eukaryota; Metazoa; Chordata; Mammalia; Carnivora; Felidae
Exons: 2
Source: RefSeq, a predicted model, not a curated record
GAAAUCCACCAAUCAAAUUACUACAAAAAAGAACACUGAAGCCGAAAUUCUGUAACCUGGGCAACUGACAAAACCUGAAGGCGUACAUCUGGUGGCCAGAAAAUAACAAAGAGUGCUUGUACUAAAGGGCAAAUACCAUGUCGAGACAAACUCUCAAAACUUCAUCAUUUCGGAUGAAACUCCGGCCAGUUUCCCUCGCACACCAGCACACCAGAGUCAACCCGCUUCUACUAGCUUUACCCAGUACCUGCUACCUCUGGCUCACCCAUACAUCACUCUUGCCGCUGACUGGAUCCAGAGUACGCAGAAACACUGCAACCCCUUUAAACACAGGAAACAGAGGCAGACACACAGGACACGGGAGAGUCAAGAAGCUACCAGAGCGGGUGAGCCAACUCAGAACACCGCUGGUCCACCUUGAGGUCCAAAGGGGUUACCAAAGCCCAGGAGGCAGGGCUAUCAGGGGUGAGAAGCACGGGAGGUGGGUGGCGCAAAGGACUAGAUGGGCAGCUGAAGCACAGGAAGUUCAAGUGCUCUAUUCAAGGUCAGACAAGGACCAGCGAAGCCCACAGCUCUCAGCCAGAGUCCUGGCCUUCAGUCUCCUGCUAGUGCCUCUCAGGGGCCGCAAGUGCCAGAGGUCAGAAGGCACGGGAACCAGCAGAGCAGAGCAGGAGGGAUGCCCUCCCCCAACACUCGUCCUCUGACUUCCAACAGACUCCUGGGUGACAGACGCCUCCUGAGAAGGCCCUCUCUCUGGACCCUCUUACAUCGCCACUGCAAUCAAUGAAGACCACUGGAACACUACCUACCUGAGCUCCCUAAGCAACAGGAUACCCUUGGUUUAAAUUAAGGAUCCACAAGAAAAUAGGGGGAAAAAAAAUCAUACAAAAACCAUUCCUGUAUUUGGCCAUUUAAAAAAGCCAACAUUAAAUUGCUUACUAUCCCUUA